GGUAACUGAAAUUAGCAAAGAAUCACCCCACACAAAGAUGGCGCGUGCAGAAUUUGUGAAAGCGAAAAAGAAGACGAAGGAGAAGCAAAAGAGGGACGGAACACGGCGGUGCUGGGGUGCAGCUGGAGUCCAGAAAUGAUUUUUUUUCGAUGAACUUAGGAUUUUGCCGCAGUAUACAUCUGCAGUCCCAGAAUCCUCCGAAUUACUAGCAAAGAUACAAAUGAGGAAGUAACCCUAGACAACGGAUCUC
Long non-coding RNA from Zalophus californianus (California sea lion), 250 nucleotides. RefSeq lists it as uncharacterized. The transcript is spliced from 3 exons. Lineage: Eukaryota; Metazoa; Chordata; Mammalia; Carnivora; Otariidae. The record is from RefSeq and is a predicted model, not a curated record.